RNAcentral lists this unclassified non-coding RNA (1142 nucleotides) under Hevea brasiliensis (rubber tree). The record is from RNAcentral. Lineage: Eukaryota; Viridiplantae; Streptophyta; Magnoliopsida; Malpighiales; Euphorbiaceae.
UUUCCAAGAAGGUAAUCUUCAUCAGUUUUCUGUUCAUUGACAUCAAGCUUCUCAGAUUUUCCCCAUUUCCAAUCUUUUUUUUCCCCGUAACUCUUCUUGCUUUCUCUCGAGAUGUUCAAGCACAUCCAGCAAGAUCUUUUGUUGCCAAGGUUUUAGUUCAUGGAUACCCUAACAAUUCUUGAAGAGAAAAACUUUCCAAGUGCAGGAAAACAGAAAAAACAGAAGGGAAAAUAGAGUAACAAGAGAGGAAAUUCAGGAGGAAAGAAUGAGAUAUUUUCUUGAUAUUUCUCCUAGUUGUCACCUGGAACAAAAUCAGAUAUGAAACAGAGGUUCUACACAGAGAAAUGAAAAUGGAAACCCUAAAUGAUAAAUCUGAGAGAGAGAUUAGUUGAGAAGAGAAACAAAAAUGAUGGGAAGAAUCAGAGAAAAGAGAAGUAGAAAGAGAUACUCUUGUAUUGAUUCUUGAUAUUUCUUGAAUAUUCAAAAAGUUAGGGUUUUGGAAUCCUAACAAAAUAGAAAUGAAAGAAAAAAGAGAUUGGAAGAAGUUAUAGAGAAAAGAAAGGAGAUAUUUGCAGAGAGAGACAGAGAGAGUAGAAAGAUUGUUAUUUUAGAUAUUUCCUGGAAUUUCAAGAGUUUCAAGACAGAAAGAACGAAGAACAAUAAUAGAAAUAAGAGUAGAAGAAAUCUAGAUUCCAAGAAGAAAGGAAGAAGAAGAAGAAUUAGGGUUUUGCCAAGAAGAAAGAAGAAAUGGAGUAUCCAUACAGAGAAGAAAAGGACAUAAGAUAAAACGGAGAGAGAAGAAAUAGAGUGAAAAAGGAAGAAGAAAUAGAAGGAAAGAAAAGAGAAAGAUAGAGGAACAAAGAGAAACCUGGAAUUUCGGUUCAGGAAAUGAUUGCGACCUUGAAGAAGUAGAAAUCCAGCAAUGACCAUUCACUUUAAGCUCUGAUACCAACCGUUGCGUAUUAGACCUGUUAUGCCCUUCGAAACAGAGAAAUGGGGAGAAAGAGAUAAAAACAGACCAAGUGAGAAAAAAAUACAAAAAGGAGAUAAGAUUUAGUGAGAAUUAGAGAAGAAGAAAGAUAAUUCUUUGCAUUUAUUCUUGAAGUGAUUACAAGUAUUGUUUCUAUUUUUAUACUUCUAGC